GAAGGCGAGGGGUAGAAGAGCACAGGGGUUCUGAUAAACCCUUCUGCCUGCAUUCUACUCCCAG
This is a microRNA precursor of Gorilla gorilla gorilla (western lowland gorilla), 64 nucleotides long. NCBI's taxonomy places the organism in Eukaryota, Metazoa, Chordata, Mammalia, Primates, Hominidae. The record is from Ensembl.